This 90-nucleotide transfer RNA is filed under the name Microbacterium sp. SA39. Its description in RNAcentral is "tRNA-Ser". It matches the Rfam family "tRNA". Rfam says of the family: Transfer RNA (tRNA) molecules are approximately 80 nucleotides in length. Their secondary structure includes four short double-helical elements and three loops (D, anti-codon, and T loops). Lineage: Bacteria; Bacillati; Actinomycetota; Actinomycetes; Micrococcales; Microbacteriaceae. The record is from RNAcentral.
GGAGACGUCGCAUAGUCCGGCCGAGUGCACCACCCUGCUAAGGUGGAGUUCCCUUACGGGAACCAGGGGUUCAAAUCCCCUCGUCUCCGC